This 3135-nucleotide long non-coding RNA is filed under the name Homo sapiens (human). Its description in RNAcentral is "non-protein coding lnc-TTR-1:2". Lineage: Eukaryota; Metazoa; Chordata; Mammalia; Primates; Hominidae. The record is from RNAcentral.
GAAGGGCGAGGAGGAGCGUUUUCUCCGCCAAGCAGCGGCGGGAGGAGGGGCUGCAGGUGGGAGGAGGCGCAGGCUGCGCGCCGCGGCGCCCCUGCGGAGAGGGGCAGCUAACUGCAGCACGCCCGGCUCCGCUGCCCGCGCCCGGCGGGGUCCCGCCGCGAAGCCCCGUGCUUAAGGUCCGGGCCGCCCGCGUCCGCUCGGCAGGCCCUGCGCCGCCUCCUACUCCGGGCCGCGGCGUCUCCUGCCUGCGCGGGGCUAGCGUGGGCGCCGGGGCCGCAACCAGCGCGCGCCACGCGCGGGGGCCCGCGGGGGCCCUCGGGGCCGAGGAGCUGGGCGCUCGCCUGCACCGAGCCGCCUCCUCAUGCCGCGCCGGGCCCCGGCGCCCCGCGGCCGCCGCGGGAGCUGAGCACAGGCCAGGGCGGCGUCCCGGCCAGCGACGAACGCGCUCCGACUCCGGCCGCCGCCAGCUGCCUGCCUGGCCGCAAGGGCGGCAGCGGCAUUACCGCCGCGCGCCCGGGGUGAGGCGCCCCCGCCGGGCCCGCGGACACCAGGCGAAGAGCAACCGGGCGACGCGCGCUGCGGGCAGAGCCGGGGAGCCGGAAGAGCAGAGGCCGAGCGCCGUCGGAGCCGCGUCUGGUUGGAGAAAGAGGCGGACGUGAAGGGGCGGGGGAGCCGCGGAGGAAAACCGGGACCGGCGGGAACGUCUCGAGACCCCUGCGCGCUUCGCGCGCUCGCUCGGAACUCGGCAGGCGGCGCUGCGCCGGGCCCCGAGGAAACCUGGAGGUCCCCGCCCUCCCCGCGCCCGAAACACCGCGCGUCCUGAUAGGCCCGCGCCCAGCAGCCCCCUCCCCGCGCCCGCCGCACCGGGGCCCCACCGCCUCCUGCGUCACCGCCGCCCCCGCCCGCCCGGGGACCCCGCGGUGACCGCGCUGCUGGGGGUUGAGGGACGCGUUGCGAGCCCCGGAUACAUUGUACCCUGGGGGUACAUAAUGAAGGAUGCUGUACCUGAAAGGAAAAGGGCAUCUCCAAAAGGGGACUUCGCGGGUGGAAUUUCCUUCCAAAAUCCUCGAGGAACAAGGUGUAUUUCCGACCUGGAUUAAUGAAUCCCCCCUCCUAUCCCGCACUUCCUGUGGAAACAGUGUCAGGAUGUGGCGCGGACCUAUGUGCGUCCCUUAUACCAGGACUUGCCUUCAACGCUGAAGGUGAACCCUGGGUCAUCCUCGCUGUAUUCAGGCGGCGCUGCAAAGGCUUCUGGGCAGCCAAUAGGCCCUUGAGCGCCUCAGCCCCAUCUUGCUUCAGUAGGCAAACGGACGGGUGUCUUCAUCCACCUCCUAGGCCGUGGUCUACCCUUCGUUCAAAUGUUUCUUCCUGCUAGCUGACUGUCCAGGUCCUUAGCUGUAUCACAUUGUUCAAAUGUGUGUGCGCAGGUGUUUCUUUUUCAACUAAUCAUGCAGGAAGUGGCGGGAUGCCUUACUGCCAUUAUUUGCUGAGUAUUUCCAGAUGGAACUGUAGUUGAUAGCCAAUAAAUUUGGUACGUUUUUAUCGGGAUGCGCAUGCCAUAGAUCGUCCCUGAGAUAAUGCUUUGCAAUGUGGAACCUGAAACACCUAUGUAUAAGCCCAAGCCUUUCAUUAAUAUUAACUGUGAGACCCCUGGAAGCUACUACUUUGUGUGAGCCUGUUUUCUCCGCCCUCAAACAGUGGAUAUAAUACCCCCUUGCAAGGCUGUGAGAUUAAAUGGAUAACUGUGCAUAAUGCUAAGCAUGGUGUCUGGGACGUAAGAGGUUCCUUAUAUCCCAUUAGUUCACUAGGUGGGAUCACCAAGUUGAAAUUCAUUUUUUAAUAUUUUGCUUGUUGGAGUACUCACAACUCAACUUCUCUGGCUAAUUUGAUGUUUAAUUUGAAAGGUAAUGACACUAUUUUGUAACAUUUUUAGAUGCUUAAGGGAAAUUUGAAAUGCAAAGUGGAACAACAUUAAAAGGAAACUCAUUUGUAAAAUAAAGAAAAACAAAAUCUAUGCAAGCCAAAGAAGUCAUGAAUGCUGAGGAAGCAAAAAUUGUGAUUUUCCCCUCUCCAAUCCCACUGUUCAUUUAUCUUUAUUUGCAUCAGUUAGACUGGUUGUUUACAAAGCUAAUACCACCAUACCACUAGUCAAAAGAGAGUUCCAUACCUUUGCUGACCUAGUGGUAGACCAUUCUUCUCAGGCAAGGUUGGCUUUUUCAAAGGAAAGUUUACUAUAAACUGAGAGAGAAGUAGUAACAUUAUAGAAUUUGAUGAUUCAUCUAUAAGAAAUCUGAAGACUGUACAGAUGAACCUAGCUGGCAUAGAUGACUGCCAUCGGUUUCUCCCCUAAUUUUAACCCUAUCUCUUGAUUUCUCUUGUUCGGCAAGUGUCCCCCACGGUACUUGUUAAGACUGAUUAGCUCUCCCCAGGAGUAGACUUUUAUCUGUUGUACCAGAAAACAAGCCUAGUCGGUGCAGCCAUUGUUGUGAGGAUUAAAUUAAAUGAAUUAAUGCCUGUAAAGAGCAUGGGAGAGGCUGGUACAUGGUAAGCACCAUUCGAGUAUUUGUAAAAUAUAUUUUUAGAAAUCUCUCCUUGCAGUCACUCUCUGUCCACAGUAACAAAUGAUGGUUGUCUCUUUCUGCUUAAACACCAAAUUUCCUAGUGGGUCACCCAUUAAGUCUGUCUCUCAUAGUCUGAGGGAUGCCUCAGGGUCUCAGCUCAUGUUUAAAACAGAGAUAGAUUAAAUACUCAGUGCACAGGAAAUGCUAACUGAGCCUUUCCAAACCCACAAUAUCAACUGAUAUUUCCUCAGGAGCCAAGUAAGCCCCAUAACAGAGGAAUGACCUUGCAGAAAUCUAAAAGUCUAUUUUUUAAUGCCAUUAAAAAGAUCUUAAUCCUGUAAUAGUGAGACAUAACUUACAACAGUAAGACAGAAAUAAAUUUUAUUUAAUGGCUUUGUUCUAAGUUUAUUACCACCAAGUAUUCCUUUUAUUAUUUUCUGUCCACUAGGGACACCGUGCUCUUAAAUAUUUGGGUAUCAAACUGAAUAAAUUAAAUCAUAAUUAAUGGUUUUCUAGUUGUAUUAAUAAGAAGUAUACACAGAUUGCAACUGAAAAAAGAAAAAUGUACUUGUUA